AACAAAUUUGAGCAGGCAGAAGAAAGCAGCAGUGAACUUGAAGAUAGGACAACUAAAAUUAUUGAGUCUCUUCAUAAAAAGAACAAAGAAAAGAGAGUAGAGCCUAAGGAACCUGUGGGACACCAUUAAGCAGAUCAACAUACACAUUACAGGAGUCCCAGAAGAAGAUAGAAAAGAUCAGAAAGAAUAUUGUAAGAAAUAAUGUCCAAAAACUUCCCAAAUUUGAUAAAAGAUAUGAAUCUACAAAUACAAGAAGCUUAGUAAAUUCCAAGUAGGAUAAUCUCAAGAGUCUCACACCCAGGCACAUUAUAAUCAAACUGUCAAAAGACAUAAUCUUUAAAAAGCAGUCUUUCCAACCAGCGCCAAGCGAUGGGCAUCUCUCGGGACAACUGGCACAAGCGCCGCAAGACCAGGGGCAAGAGAAAGCCCUACCACAAGAAGCGGAAGUAUGAACUUGGGCGCCCCGCUGCCAACACAAAGAUUGGUCCCAGCCGCAUACACACAGUCCGUGUGCGGGAAGGUAACAAGAAAUACCGUGCCCUAAGGCUGGACGUGGGGAACUUCUCCUGGGGCUCAGAGUGUUGUACUCAGAAAACGAGAAUCAUUGAUGUUGUCUACAAUGCGUCCAAUAACGAGCUGGUCCGCACCAAGACCUUGGUGAAGAACUGCAUCGUGCUUAUUGACAGCACACCAUACCGACAGUGGUACGAGUCCCACUAUGCACUGCCCCUGGGCCACAAGAAGGGGGCCAAGCUGACUCCUGAGGAAGAAGAAAUUUUAAACAAAAAACAAUCCAAAAAAAUUCAGAAGAAAUAUGAUGAAAGGAAAAAGAAUGCUAAAAUCAGCAGUCUUCUGGAGGAGCAGUUUCAGCAGGGCAAGCUUCUCGCAUGCAUUGCGUCCAGACCGGGCCAGUGUGACCGUGCCAGUGUGGCCGAGCAGAGGGCAAGGAGCUGGAGUUCUACCUGAGGAAAAUCAAGGCCCAGAAAGGCAAAUA
Molecule: non-coding RNA, 994 nt
Organism: Microcebus murinus (gray mouse lemur)
Lineage: Eukaryota; Metazoa; Chordata; Mammalia; Primates; Cheirogaleidae
Source: RefSeq, a predicted model, not a curated record